UACGUAGGUGGCAAGCGUUGUCCGGAUUUAUUGGGUUUAAAGGGUGCGUAGGCGGCCCUGUAAGUCAGUGCUGAAAUAUCCCAGCUUAACUGGGAGGGUGGCAUUGAUACUGCGGGGCUAGAGUACAGAUGAGGUAGGCGGAAUUGACGGUGUAGCGGUGAAAUGCUUAGAUAUCGUCAAGAACACCUAUAGCGAAGGCAGCUUACUAGGCUGUAACUGACGCUGAUGCACGAAAGUGUGGGGAUCAAACAGG
RNAcentral lists this ribosomal RNA (253 nucleotides) under uncultured bacterium. RNAcentral's name for it is "partial 16S ribosomal RNA". It matches the Rfam family "Bacterial small subunit ribosomal RNA", at positions 524 to 776 of the family's 1533-position model. The record is from RNAcentral.